GAUGAACGCUGGCGGCGUGCCUAAUACAUGCAAGUCGAGCGAACAGACGAGGAGCUUGCUCCUCUGACGUUAGCGGCGGACGGGUGAGUAACACGUGGAUAACCUACCUAUAAGACUGGGAUAACUUCGGGAAACCGGAGCUAAUACCGGAUAAUAUAUUGAACCGCAUGGUUCAAUAGUGAAAGACGGUUUUGCUGUCACAUUUAGAUGGAUCCGCGCCGCAUUAGCUAGUUGGUAAGGUAACGGCUUACCAAGGCGACGAUGCGUAGCCGACCUGAGAGGGUGAUCGGCCACACUGGAACUGAGACACGGUCCAGACUCCUACGGGAGGCAGCAGUAGGGAAUCUUCCGCAAUGGGCGAAAGCCUGACGGAGCAACGCCGCGUGAGUGAUGAAGGUCUUCGGAUCGUAAAACUCUGUUAUUAGGGAAGAACAAAUGUGUAAGUAACUAUGCACGUCUUGACGGUACCUAAUCAGAAAGCCACGGCUAACUACGUG
RNAcentral lists this ribosomal RNA (497 nucleotides) under uncultured bacterium. Its description in RNAcentral is "partial 16S ribosomal RNA". It matches the Rfam family "Bacterial small subunit ribosomal RNA", at positions 28 to 507 of the family's 1533-position model. The record is from RNAcentral.